Molecule: long non-coding RNA, 558 nt
Organism: Canis lupus familiaris (dog)
Lineage: Eukaryota; Metazoa; Chordata; Mammalia; Carnivora; Canidae
Exons: 3
Source: RefSeq, a predicted model, not a curated record
UUUCCCAAAGAUGAAAAGCUAAAAUGGCUAUAUUUUCGCUUUUUUAGUAUGGGUUUUUGAAGUAUUAGAGCCAUUUCGACAUUCCGCGUAAGAUUUUUUUUUUCUUUCUCCCGAACAGGUGAUACAUAAACAAUGUAAAAGGUUCAAAAGGUACAGGUGUGUUUGUAGUAGAACCAAAGCCUCUCCUCCUCCCCAGUCCUUGAAGUGGUUCAGCUCUCCAGGAACCACGGCAGUGAGCAGUUCCUUAAACACCUUUCAAGACAGAUUCUGUGCAUCUACAAGCAAAUCUUUGCACAUAUACUAUUUUGCUGGAUCUCCCCUCAUUUCUGCACAACCGACCGCACUUGGCUUUGUGUGCUUCAUAAUAAUCGUCAUAAUUCCAGUCGGUACAUGCGAUGCUGCCUCAUUGCUGAUUUCCUCCUUUAAUAAGGACAUCAGUCCUCUUGGAUUAGGGGCCUCCCCUACUCCGGUAUGACCCCGCUUUCACCGGUGACUUCAGGAAUGACCCUCUUUCCAAGGAAAGGUGAGAACACUGAGGUCACUGCUCUUGGUUACACA